This 76-nucleotide transfer RNA is filed under the name Deltaproteobacteria bacterium. RNAcentral describes it as "tRNA-Ala". It matches the Rfam family "tRNA". Rfam says of the family: Transfer RNA (tRNA) molecules are approximately 80 nucleotides in length. Their secondary structure includes four short double-helical elements and three loops (D, anti-codon, and T loops). Further hydrogen bonds mediate the characteristic L-shaped molecular structure. tRNAs have two regions of fundamental functional importance: the anti-codon, which is responsible for specific mRNA codon recognition, and the 3' end, to which the tRNAs corresponding amino acid is attached (by aminoacyl-tRNA synthetases). tRNAs cope with the degeneracy of the genetic code in two manners: having more than one tRNA (with a specific anti-codon) for a particular amino acid; and 'wobble' base-pairing, i.e. permitting non-standard base-pairing at the 3rd anti-codon position. Lineage: Bacteria; Pseudomonadati; Myxococcota; Myxococcia. The record is from RNAcentral.
GGGGCUGUAGCUCAGCUGGGAGAGCGCAUGAAUGGCAUUCAUGAGGUCAGGGGUUCGAAACCCCUCAGCUCCACCA